GCGCUCGUAGCUCAGCUGGAUAGAGCACCAGACUACGAAUCUGGGGGUCGGGAGUUCGAAUCUCUCCCGGCGCGCCA
RNAcentral lists this transfer RNA (77 nucleotides) under Alphaproteobacteria bacterium. RNAcentral's name for it is "tRNA-Arg". It matches the Rfam family "tRNA". From Rfam's summary of the family: Transfer RNA (tRNA) molecules are approximately 80 nucleotides in length. Their secondary structure includes four short double-helical elements and three loops (D, anti-codon, and T loops). Further hydrogen bonds mediate the characteristic L-shaped molecular structure. tRNAs have two regions of fundamental functional importance: the anti-codon, which is responsible for specific mRNA codon recognition, and the 3' end, to which the tRNAs corresponding amino acid is attached (by aminoacyl-tRNA synthetases). tRNAs cope with the degeneracy of the genetic code in two manners: having more than one tRNA (with a specific anti-codon) for a particular amino acid; and 'wobble' base-pairing, i.e. permitting non-standard base-pairing at the 3rd anti-codon position. The record is from RNAcentral. Lineage: Bacteria; Pseudomonadati; Pseudomonadota; Alphaproteobacteria.